AUGGGCAUGCAGUCUAUGAUGGCUGUCCGGUGCACGAACCUUGUCAACCCUGUAUGCGACUGGCUUGGUGAGAUCUACAAGCCUGCCUCCAGGGAAUUCGUGAUUCCUGGACGCGGAAGACUUCUGUUGAACGAGGAAUCCAUGUUCUGCACUUUGGGUGUGCCUCGUGGACAUAUCAAAGUCCCAUACGAGGUCAAUAAUGAGAUCGAGGAAGCUAUGUUCGCCCGUUUGUUUCCUGGAUUGGAGUCCAUGCCAAACCCGUCUGUACUGGCAGAUUCGCUGCAGGCCAUGACGACGCACGGAGAUGUUUUCAAGAUGAAGCUACUCAUGUACCUCAUCUCAGCUGUUUUCGCGCCGACCACUUCCCUUCGCCCAAGCAACAAAUGUUUCCCCAUCCUGGCGAAUCUGAAAAAUGUGAAGAACAUGAACUGGUGUAAGUUUAUUGCCGACUUUCUCCAUGAUGCUUUCAAAAACAAGAUGUACCAGAAGGGUUGUCGACUGCAUUUAAUGCUCAUGUAUGUCGACUAUCUUGAUCUGUCCACCGUGGAUUUCUCUGGGGUAGGAGGCCCGCCGCCUACGCACAAGUUUGUUGUUUCUGCGUGGACCAUCAACGCUGUCAAGGCUGUGCUUGCCGCAGACAGGGCAACUGAUACCACAUAUGGAAAACUACAGCUGAUGGCCAAGCAUGCUAUAGACUACAGCGUGUUUGGGGGGCCUCAAAAAUUUGGAAAGUGGAUGGACGUGCACUCAGCUCCGUCUUGCCCUUCUGAGGCGAGGGCACCAGUUGAGCAUCUAAUUGGGCAGUUUUCAUCCGGAAUGACCGGCUUGCUCGGGAAGUUGGUUGAGGGGUGGACGUCCCUCAGUGCCUCUGACAGCGACGCGGUUGCGAGGCAGUUCACUUCAUUUGUCCCAGAACGUACACAUCGACCAACCGGUUGCCGUGGCCGGUAUGACUACAACAGUUCCCAAGAGCCCGGUGACACACAAGAUGAUGUAGAUGGAGACGUUGGCCUCAGCAAGGAUGACGAUGAUGACAUGGAUGAUGUGCAUCAGGACACGGAUGACGAUGAACACGCUGAAGUUCGCACAGGUGCCAACAAGGGCAAGGAUGCAACAGAUGCCCCCCACCGGAGAAAGUGA
RNAcentral lists this ribosomal RNA (1140 nucleotides) under Triticum aestivum (bread wheat). RNAcentral's name for it is "partial small subunit ribosomal RNA". The record is from RNAcentral. Lineage: Eukaryota; Viridiplantae; Streptophyta; Magnoliopsida; Poales; Poaceae.